Molecule: ribosomal RNA, 305 nt
Filed under: uncultured bacterium
Lineage: Bacteria
Description: bacterial SSU rRNA
Rfam family: Bacterial small subunit ribosomal RNA
Source: RNAcentral
UAUCUCCUACGGGGGGCAGCAGUAGGGAAUUUUCGUCAAUGGGCGCAAGCCUGAACCAGCCAAGUCGCGUGAGGGAAGACGGUCCUAUGGAUUGUAAACCUCUUUAGGCGGGGAGCAAUGCCGGGCACGUGUGCCCGGAGGGAGAGUACCCGCAGAAUAAGCAUCGGCUAACUCCGUGCCAGCAGCCGCGGUAAUACGGAGGAUGCGAGCGUUAUCCGGCUUUAUUGGGUUUAAAGGGUGCGUAGGCGGAUUUUUAAUUCAGCGGUACAAUGUCCGGGCUCAACCCGGGCCGGCCGUUGAACCUG